AUGUAGCAAUACAGGGUGAUGGACUGCCUUUUGCAUAAUGAGCCUGCGAGUUGUGGUGUCUGGCAAGGUUAAGCAAACGCGAAGCCGUAGCGAAAGCGAGUCUGAAUAGGGCGCUUAGUCAGAUGCUGCAGACCCGAAACGAAGUGAUCUAUCCAUGAGCAAGUUGAAGCUAGUGUAAGAACUAGUGGAGGACUGAACCCAUAGGCGUUGAAAAGCCCCGGGAUGACUUGUGGAUAGGGGUGAAAGGCCAAUCAAACUUCGUGAUAGCUGGUUCUCUCCGAAAUAUAUUUAGGUAUAGCGUUGUGUCGUAAUAUAAGGGGGUAGAGCACUGAAUGGGCUAGGGCAUACACCAAUGUACCAAACCCUAUCAAACUCCGAAUACCUUAUAUGUAAUCACAGCAGUCAGGCGGCGAGUGAUAAAAUCCGUCGUCAAGAGGGAAACAACCCAGACUACCAGCUAAGGUCCCUAAAUCUUACUUAAGUGGAAAACGAUGUGAAGUUACUUAAACAACCAGGAGGUUGGCUUAGAAGCAGCCAUCCUUUAAAGAAAGCGUAAUAGCUCACUGGUCUAGUGAUUUUGCGCGGAAAAUAUAACGGGGCUAAAGUAAGUACCGAAGCUGUAGACUUAGUUUACUAAGUGGUAGGAGAGCGUUCUAUUUGCGUCGAAGGUAUACCGGUAAGGAGUGCUGGAGCGAAUAGAAGUGAGCAUGCAGGCAUGAGUAGCGAUAAUUAAUGUGAGAAUCAUUAACGCCGUAAACCCAAGGUUUCCUACGCGAUGCUCGUCAUCGUAGGGUUAGUCGGGUCCUAAGUCGAGUCCGAAAGGGGUAGACGAUGGCAAAUUGGUUAAUAUUCCAAUACCAACAUUAGUGUGCGAUGGAAGGACGCUUAGGGCUAAGGGGGCUAGCGGAUGGAAGUGCUAGUCUAAGGUCGUAGGAGGUUAUACAGGCAAAUCCGUAUAACAAUACUCCGAGAACUGAAAGGCUUUUUGAAGUCUUCGGAUGGAUAGAAGAACCCCUGAUGCCGUCGAGCCAAGAAAAGUUUCUAAGUUUAGCUAAUGUUGCCCGUACCGUAAACCGACACAGGUGGGUGGGAUGAGUAUUCUAAGGCGCGUGGAAGAACUCUCUUUAAGGAACUCUGCAAAAUAGCACCGUAUCUUCGGUAUAAGGUGUGGUUAGCUUUGUAUUAGGAUUUACUCCGAAAGCAAGGAAACUUACAACAAAGAGUCCCUCCCGACUGUUUACCAAAAACACAGCACUCUGCUAACUCGUAAGAGGAUGUAUAGGGUGUGACGCCUGCCCGGUGCUCGAAGGUUAAUUGAUGGGGUUAGCAUUAGCGAAGCUCUUGAUCGAAGCCCGAGUAAACGGCGGCCGUAACUAUAACGGUCCUAAGGUAGCGAAAUUCCUUGUCGGUUAAAUACCGACCUGCAUGAAUGGCGUAACGAGAUGGGAGCUGUCUCAAAGAGGGAUCCAGUGAAAUUGUAGUGGAGGUGAAAAUUCCUCCUACCCGCGGCAAGACGGAAAGACCCCGUGGACCUUUACUACAGCUUGACACUGCUACUUGGAUAAGAAUGUGCAGGAUAGGUGGGAGGCUUUGAGUAUAUGACGCCAGUUGUAUAUGAGCCAUUGUUGAGAUACCACUCUUUCUUAUUUGGGUAGCUAACCAGCUUGAGUUAUCCUCAAGUGGGACAAUGUCUGGUGGGUAGUUUGACUGGGGCGGUCGCCUCCCAAAUAAUAACGGAGGCUUACAAAGGUUGGCUCAGAACGGUUGGAAAUCGUUCGUAGAGUAUAAAGGUAUAAGCCAGCUUAACUGCAAGACAUACAAGUCAAGCAGAGACGAAAGUCGGUCUUAGUGAUCCGGUGGUUCUGUGUGGAAGGGCCAUCGCUCAAAGGAUAAAAGGUACCCCGGGGAUAACAGGCUGAUCUCCCCCAAGAGCUCACAUCGACGGGGAGGUUUGGCACCUCGAUGUCGGCUCAUCGCAUCCUGGGGCUGGAGCAGGUCCCAAGGGUAUGGCUGUUCGCCAUUUAAAGCGGUACGCGAGCUGGGUUCAGAACGUCGUGAGACAGUUCGGUCCCUAUCUGCCGUGGGCGUAAGAAGAUUGAAGAGAUUUGACCCUAGUACGAGAGGACCGGGUUGAACAAACCACUGGUGUAGCUGUUGUUCUGCCAAGAGCAUCGCAGCGUAGCUAAGUUUGGAAAGGAUAAACGCUGAAAGCAUCUAAGCGUGAAGCCAACUCUAAGAUGAAUCUUCUCUAAGCUCUCUAGAAGACUACUAGUUUGAUAGGCUGGGUGUGUAAUGGAUGAAAGUCCUUUAGCUGACCAGUACUAAUAGAGCGUUUGGCUUAUCUUU
Molecule: ribosomal RNA, 2346 nt
Filed under: Campylobacter jejuni
Lineage: Bacteria; Pseudomonadati; Campylobacterota; Epsilonproteobacteria; Campylobacterales; Campylobacteraceae
Description: partial 23S ribosomal RNA
Rfam family: Bacterial large subunit ribosomal RNA
Source: RNAcentral